CGGUAACAUUUCUAGCUUGCUAGAAGAUGACGAGUGGCGGACGGGUGAGUAAUGCUUGGGAACUUGCCUUUGCGAGGGGGAUAACAGUUGGAAACGACUGCUAAUACCGCAUAAUGUCUUCGGACCAAACGGGGCUUAGGCUCCGGCGCAAAGAGAGGCCCAAGUGAGAUUAGCUAGUUGGUAAGGUAACGGCUUACCAAGGCGACGAUCUCUAGCUGUUCUGAGAGGAAGAUCAGCCACACUGGGACUGAGACACGGCCCAGACUCCUACGGGAGGCAGCAGUGGGGAAUAUUGCACAAUGGGGGAAACCCUGAUGCAGCCAUGCCACGUGUGUGAAGAAGGCCUUCGGGUUGUAAAGCACUUUCAGUUGUGAGGAAAAGUUAGUAGUUAAUACCUGCUAGCCGUGACGUUAACAACAGAAGAAGCACCGGCUAACUCCGUGCCAGCAGCCGCGGUAAUACGGAGGGUGCGAGCGUUAAUCGGAAUUACUGGGCGUAAAGCGCACGCAGGCGGUUUGUUAAGCUAGAUGUGAAAGCCCCGGGCUCAACCUGGGAUGGUCAUUUAGAACUGGCAGACUAGAGUCUUGGAGAGGGGAGUGGAAUUCCAGGUGUAGCGGUGAAAUGCGUAGAUAUCUGGAGGAACAUCAGUGGCGAAGGCGACUCCCUGGCCAAAGACUGACGCUCAUGUGCGAAAGUGUGGGUAGCGAACAGGAUUAGAUACCCUGGUAGUCCACACCGUAAACGCUGUCUACUAGCUGUGUGUGCCUUUAAGGCGUGCGUAGCGAAGCUAACGCGCUAAGUAGACCGCCUGGGGAGUACGGCCGCAAGGUUAAAACUCACAUGAAUUGACGGGGGCCCGCACAAGCGGUGGAGCAUGUGGUUUAAUUCGAUGCAACGCGAAGAACCUUACCUACACUUGACAUGCUGAGAAGUUACUAGAGAUAGUUUCGUGCC
This 954-nucleotide ribosomal RNA is filed under the name uncultured Alteromonas sp. Its description in RNAcentral is "bacterial SSU rRNA". It matches the Rfam family "Bacterial small subunit ribosomal RNA", at positions 67 to 1018 of the family's 1533-position model. Lineage: Bacteria; Pseudomonadati; Pseudomonadota; Gammaproteobacteria; Alteromonadales; Alteromonadaceae. The record is from RNAcentral.